RNAcentral lists this ribosomal RNA (200 nucleotides) under uncultured bacterium. RNAcentral's name for it is "partial 16S ribosomal RNA". It matches the Rfam family "Bacterial small subunit ribosomal RNA", at positions 30 to 232 of the family's 1533-position model. The record is from RNAcentral.
AUUGAACGCUGGCGGCAGGCCUAACACAUGCAAGUCGAGCGGUUGAGGUAGCUUGCUACCGAUGCAGCGGCGGACGGGUGAGUAAUACAUGGGAAUCUGCCUGGUAGUGGGGGACAACGUUUCGAAAGGAACGCUAAUACCGCAUACGCCCUACAGGGGAAAGGGGGGGAUCUUCGGACCUCUCGCCAUCAGAUGAGCCC